UAAUUUUUGAACGUUCCCCAAGAUCGCACUGGUUGUGACGGCGGUACCCGUAUGCGGUAUAGACACUAUAGAUUCCAUAGACUCGCGGAGACAUGGUUGAGCAAUACGAUUUUAGUGUGUUUUUCCGUGAAUUUAGAGUGUACCGAGCGAAUAUGACGUCACGCAAUCCAUUGUCGCUAUUGAAAUCGUGACGUCAUGCUCGUUUGGCUACACGAACUGACAGUUCGUUUGGCUACAGUAGUCUUCGCCUUCGCGAGUCUAUGGAAUCUAUAGUGUCUAUAGUAUGCGGAUGAAACAAACAGAGCCCACGAAUGUAGCACGCGGAUGUUUUUUUUUCUGCACACGGCGCAUGUGUUGUUGACUAUGCUUGAUGGAUUAUAUUUUUAGUGGGGAGUCAAAGGAUAAACGAAUUUCAUGUUUACUGCUAAUAGAAUUAAACUUCACAAAAUUUGAUAUUCUAUAAGUAAGCUCACAAAUCAAUUUUGAACUGGCACAUUUGACUGAUUCAAUACGUUAGCAAAUGUUGAACAAUUUUGAUUUUAAAGUAAGUGGAUUGAUCGGGUGGUUGUGAGCCAAGAUAUAUUCUUUAUCUGAUGAUCCUUAUGUUGUCAAAAACACUUAUCCUAAUUCGAUGUCUAAUUCGAUGUCGUGUUUGAGAUGAAACUAGAUUAGUUGAAAAAGCAUAACAAAGUUCAUACAAACAAAAAAUAAUAUGCAAUAAUAAUCAAAUAUUUUUUUGUGCAGGCUCAACUAAAUUUGGAUGUGGUUGCAACGGCGAGUUUAUUGAAUUUCACUCAUUGAAAAUGAAAAUUUAAAACUCAAUCACGAUAACAACAUAAGUCAUAAUCAUUCAUCUGUUUCGCUUUGUAUUAGGCAGAUGUUUAUAGAAUUCGGCAUACUUUUUUUCAAGUUCGACAUAAAAACAUAAAAAAAGUAUGAGAAUGUGUAAUACGAUGUUAUUUAUAUUCUCGACAAACAAAACAAACAAAAAUGUUGAACAUGUAGCCGAAAAGGUCACGAGUCGCCCCUGGUUUCAAAAGUGCAGGAUGUCAGUGAGGAAACAUUUCAUUUUGAUCCUGGAAAAUUGUUGACGAAUUGUUUGUAAAUAGGUAUAUAAAGAGAAUAAUCAAGCACGACACUAGAUAACAUACUGUUAUGUAACGGCCACUGGCACACACUAUAUACAUCCCGUUAUGGAUGACAUUUAUGAAUAUGUUUUUAUAAUGCCUUAGAGUUAUCGACGGAAAAGCGUUCAAGAAAAUAAAGUCGAAUUGGUUGUAUAAAAUAAGAUUCACAACUUUGACAAAUCAUGAAGAAUUAUUGCUAUACAUCUGAAUAGUGGUGUUUUUCCCUUUGACUGUUGAAGCGAGGUAGCUGAAGUGAUUGAACAAUUAGUUAAAGCUUUGAGACACGAAAUAUGCACAAUUGAUUUGUCUUUUGUUUCACAAUGAAGUAGUAAGAAGAAAUGGAGGUCUGAUGGUCGAUAUUUGUAUUCAUAAAAGUGUCAGAACUGUUGAGUGUUUUGCAUGUCCGAGUUUUCUAGAGAUGAUUCAAUUAUUGCAUUGAACUGCUGAAUAGUGACGGUUGAAUAUUGAUUUAUAUAGAAAUGAGUUAACAGAGCUUAUAGGAUUAGGCAGUGGAAGUAUUUCAGGCAAAUAUCAAAUAACUAUAUGCAUGAGCGAAUAUAGAUUAAAGAAAGGGGGAUGUGGUGACGAGUGCCUUACUCAUUCAUGUGCUUAUGCUGAAAUAACAUUCUUCACUGCACUCGCAUCCAUGCGCACCUGAGUUGUGGUACGAUCGCCCACACACACUCUGCAACGUGGCAGUAUAGCGCUUAGUCUUUGACGCACGCUCAAGCUUAUCACACGCGAUUACCACACGUGGGAAUGAAUUUUUAGUUAUUUUUACGAUAUUUGGGAAUGGUAAAAUUAAACAUAGUGCCGUGGUUCGCAGUACUAUACUUUUUUUUUCUCAGUGUAGGAUAGAGAACGUAAUCUUUCAGAAGCAGUUCACCAGCCGUGCACGGAACAUGUCGUAAGACACUGACACUGUCUGCGUACUGACUCAGAAGGUUACGGUAAGAAGGUGUGAAAGUUCCGGUUUUGUCAUAUGGUCGAUUUUGUAUUUGUUUUAAGGCUCCCCCAAACCAAGGCGACUUUUCCAGCGACACGAUUUUUUAUCGCCGCGAUUUUUCUCAACGACUACAGCGAUAAAUGCGUCGCAUCAACCAUCUACACCAACGCGAAAACUAGUCACAAACAAAACUUAGUCGCCCCGCGACAGCGACGAAAACUGUGCAUGCAGCAAUCAGCGCCGCGACACACCGGCGACAAGUACAAAAAUCGCUGCACUGUCGCUUGUCGCCUGCGAUGACGUCGUCGCAGUGUGGAAGGUCCCCUUCAAAUAAGUGCGCAGCGAUUUCGCGACAAAAACAUUGCGACAAAAAGUCGUGUCGCUGGAAAAGAGUCGCGUCGGUUUGGGGGAGCCUUUAUUCGUCAUGUCAAGGUUUGAAGAAUGCUAUUGUUCAUAUGUAUUAGAAAAUUACUAAUUAUUUCAUAUUUGAAUUAAAUUUGUAUUUGUAUUGCGUAUUUGUUAAAAUUAACCGAAUACAUAGUGGGAAGCCCAGGAAACAGUUCAAAGUCUGCUGACUCAAAAAAGAUUCCGAGACUCGUCACAAAACACAAAAAAUUGCAUUAUGAUUCACAACGACUCUCGAAACCUUCCCAGACUCAAUCGACCGCAACUGUUUUCUGGGUAUAGAAACUACUAGGCCCGAGCAGGUCCCUCCUGUUUAUCGAGCAUUUCUGGUAAAUCAGCCAUACUCCAUAUGUAGCAGCCGGUUCACAAUGAACCGUUGGAGGCGCAUUAAGGUGAAUAUAUAACGAAGCCACACCUAAAAUUUUCAAAAGCACAAAUCUGAAGAACCGUGGGUUGGUUUGCGCUGAAAAGUUGAUCGAUUGGUCACCACCAGCGGGUCAGUAAUCGAUCAACUUUUCAGCGCAAUCCGUCUUUUGGUUCCUCAAAUUUGUGCUCUUGAAAAUUCGAGGUGUGGCUUCGUUAUAUAUUCACGUAUUCACCUUAAGUGAUAAAGGUGAUAUUUUUAUUACAAGAAUUACAAUUAACAUUCUUCACUUUAAUGCCGUCGAACCCUGUGAUCUUAGCCAGGGGAAACCCUGGAGAAAUUUCUAAAUGUAUCCCGUGAGAAAUCAAUGAUGCAAUCCAGGAAGAGUCCCUACCCGGAUAAAAACUAACCAUAGGGUGUAUGGUGAAAACCAUUCCUGCACCAUACAGUGUACCAGCUACAAUAAAGUGUAUUGUGAUGAAAUGGUUUGCUAUACUAUACAUUUACAUUGGAUUUUUAUGUAACAAUAUAUUAUACUGUUUUUCUUACGUUUGAACCAUUCACUUUUCCGAAACAUUAUUUUUCCGUGAAUUUUUAAUUAUUUCUGGUGUUCGAUUUGAAUAGUUUAACAUUUUUUCCGUGCUUUAUUUUGUUGAUGUUUGUGACUUUUUUGAUGCAAAGGAAAGCUUUCAUAGGAAAGAGAAAAAAGUGAAUAAGUUGAAACAUCAAUUGAAAAUCAAUAACAUGUUUAAAUCAGUGGUAAACCAAAUGUCCUAUUCUAAGAACUGCAGGUCCAAGCAGGGGUCCAAGAGAUAUGGUGGGCUAGGUGUGUAGAGUGCGAUGAGAGAAAUACGAAUGAAGGCCAACCCGGAAUGAUGCAGGUCAGAUUACCGUAAAUCAGUGGAUGAGUUCAACACUAUUAUUUCUGUAUUUGCAUUUAGGGGAAUUUUCUCCUCUUCUCUCAUGUGAACUUGCGUUCGACCACAAUCGAAUCAAAUGCGAUUGACAAACUUUAUCUUUGACGUAGAGCCAUCUUUAACACAUAGACUGGACUGAACACUGAAUUGACUUUUAAUAUAGCUUCGUCUGCGGGUUCGCUUUUUAACCUAACUUAUACUUGAAUCGAACUUGACAGUUUUCUCAUGAGUUGUUAUGUAUUUCCGUGUAUUUCAAACUUUAGUCAAACUGGAGCCUCAAUAUUGCAAUAACGGUUAAGCACGCUGUAAUGAUACUUAUGUACCUCGUCACCCACUUCAUGCAACUACAUUAGUGGUCUAAUAAUACUUAGCGCGCUCGGCAUAGUUCCAUCAUGCCGCUCAAAGUGUUGCCACAAAUAAUGCUUAGUUUGCGAAACCCAGUUAUCUGGCUGGUGGGGCAUGGGAGCCUAAGCUUCAACUGUUAAUGCAAUCAGAGAUUACUCAGACCUCGACUCAGACUUAGACGUGGGCGAUCCAAUGUGAAGGGUUAUCCAAAACGCUCUGGAGAAUUCCCAAAGCGCAUUCUCCGCAUUCUCAUAAUGCUAGUAAGCCUAAGAUGCCAUUAACAAGAGGAAAAUGACAAGAUAAUAUAACAUUAUAUGGAUUAUGUAAUGUAAACCAAUACAACAUAACAAAAGAGAACCAUUCCAAAACCAUUUAAUUAAAUGUAUAACCAGUAGUGAAACUACAAUUGAAAACAAUAUAUUUACGGUACAUUUUAUUGUUUGAAACCAUAUGUGUACAAUACAAUGUACGGUUUAUUAAAACCCACGUAUCAGUAUUUAUAACAAUUCAUUUACAAUAUAAUGUAUGGUUUUGCAAAAAAAUAUAUAUGGAGAAAAAUAUUUUUUUAUAUUGUUACGAUACUUAACCACCCGUAUAGUAUAUUGUAAAAAUCUUAUUUACAAUAUACUGUAUUAGGUUCUACAUUACAUUUUAUUGUUUUUGUAUUUUUAUUUUUACAGUGGUGUCUAUUGUAAAAAUAUGGUUUUAAAUAGUACUGUUACAAUACAACGUUCGGUUUUUCUACUGUAUUUUUUAUUCGGGUACCCAAGUAACCAAAAGUUCAGAUAAAAGGGUACUUUAUAAGCUAAGCAGCAAGUUCGAGGCUGCUCAUUAGCCUUCUAAGCAGCUUCAAGUAAUUUUGGAACUUGAAAGUUCACAUAAGCACACUGGAUAGCCUUCUAAGCAGCUUCUGACAGAACUUUGACAAAAUUCAUGCAGAAAAAAAAUGUGAUUUUCAGAAUCACAACCCCAUCCCCCACCCUGUUUGGUGGGUUUGUGAUUCAUGUCUGGAAAUUGCUUCUGAUAAUUAUAUUUUCACACAGGAUGCUGCUAUGUAGAUUUGAACUGGAUCCUCCUGCGUGAUAGCCUGCCGACUUACCGCUGCGCUACUGGAGACACUUGAUAAUGUAAAGCUAACUUCACUACUGUACAAAUGUGCAAAAUUAGCUGCCGACAGAAAAUCGAUUCAAGUCAGACUUCACCUGCUGUUCACUCAACCACAAGUGUAGUACUGUGGUAGAGCGCAGGAUUCUCACGCAGCGACUAUCGGUUCGAAUCCGAUGGGCGGCAAUUUUUUUUUGCUCAAGCCGAGUAUUCGUUGAUUUGAUAAAUUCAUAUUUGUCUUUUAUUCGUGUAUGCUCAAACAGUUGUUUUCUGUAAAAAAAAUAAAUUUAAUCCUCAUUGAAACACAAUGCUACUGAACUGAACUUCUAUGAACUUAAAAGUUCCGACAAAGUUCCGAGUAGCAUCUUAAGCAGCUUUAAAGUUCCGCGAAGUUCAGAUAAAGUUCCAAACGGAACUUUCUGGCUGCUUAAGAGGCUAACAAUGAGCCUUGUCGGAACUUGUGACCGAAGUUCCAGCAAGGCUCAUCGUUAGCCUCUUAAGCAGCCAGAAAGUUCCAUUUGGAACUUUAUCUGAAUUUCGCGGAACUUGAAAGUGCAUUUUGUCAUGGGAAGCGGAACUUUUGGUUACUUGGGUAGAAGUAUCAUUCAAUGAAUCUCUGCAGGAAUAUUUGUAUGAAUGCUUAAAUUAAUCUUGGAUUAAAUCCCUAAUCCGCGUUGGAAAUGCCUGAAGGAAUCCCGGAGGACAACCUAGGAACACUCCUGAAGGAAUUCUUAAUGGAGUCUCAGGAAUAUUUGACGAAAAAACCCGCAAGGAAAUCUGGGAGAAAUAUCUAAAGGAAUCGCCAGAGAAAUCAAUGAUGGAAUCUCGAGAAGAAUCUCUGAUUGAAUGUUAAAAAAAUAUCUCUGAAAGAAUUCUGCGAAGAUCUCACCUAAAGGAAUUUCGGGAAUGAAUGAAACAAUCCCAGGAGCAAAUCCUAAUGAAUUAAAACAAAUACUGAAGGAAUCCUUCUCUGAAUCGCUCUAGUAAUCCUAGGAGAAAUUCCUAAAGGAAAUCGAGAACGGAAUCCCGGAAAAAAGCUUGAGCUUGAUUGACCAAAGCGGAUUCUACUCCAGUAUCGCCAGACCAGCUACACUCACACAAGGAACCAAUGAGAUAUCUGUCGGGGACUCAGUAGACAUCUUCAGUGUGUGAGCGUUGGUGAUCUUCUAUUUUUAGGCGAAAAUGGCGCCUGCUACAUCAGGUUGCAGGUCAACGUGGGGAAGUGGAAGGAAGUGAUGAUUGGGAUGAUUGCAAUAGUUUUUAUCCACAUUAGACCGAAUAUUCCUCUGCGUCUGCACAAAUUCAUGCGGAUGACGGAGUGUUGGUAAGGUAUGGUAGGCAGAGGGUUCACACAUCGGUGCGUGGCUGCCAGGCGUAAGGUGAUAGAUUAGUGUAUUUAUUACUCUGUAGGUAUUGCGGCACAGUUCGCUUGAUUGCAUAACUCGUAGGCGUUAUAUGUUAGAAUGAUACUGAGCUUCUUCUUCUUCUUGGCGUAACAUCCUCACUGGGACAAAGCCUGCUUCUCAGCUUAGUGUUCUAUGAGCACUUCCACAGUUAUUAACUGAGAGCUUCCUCUGCCAACACGCAGAAAAAUGGCGCUUGUUUAAAACAAUAAAACGCAUGGUUGAUUUUCAAACUGAGAAUUUACUUAUUCCAAAGCUAUAUUUCUUUGUUUUCAUUUAGAGUUUAUCGAUAAAAACAACCGAUUACCAUCAUUUCAUACAACGUCAAUAAUUUCAUUUGUUUCAACAAAAUAAAAACCAUAAACAUGGUCCGAAAGCACUCACACAUCUUUAAAAUGCUUACCCCAACAUCGCCACAACGAAGAAGGUGUAGCAAAUCCAUCACGCCAACUUCCAAGUGCAGCUUUGGCCGUGAUGAAUAACGCGCAGGUACUCACGACAGCAUCCACAAAAAGUUGCCCGGUUUCGCCUUUUUUGUCUUUUUUUAGUCGAUCUCCUCCCCAUCCGCUUACCGACGGUCUAAAAAUAGAUAUCCGAGCUGCCGCUGCAGCUGCCGUCACCAACACAAUCACAUUCCGGGUUUGUUAGUUGCAAAAGUGCAGUCGUUUGAAUCAAUCCAUUAUUGCAUGUUGAAAAUA
Aedes albopictus (Asian tiger mosquito) is the source of this 7309-nucleotide long non-coding RNA. RefSeq lists it as uncharacterized. Lineage: Eukaryota; Metazoa; Arthropoda; Insecta; Diptera; Culicidae. The transcript is spliced from 2 exons. The record is from RefSeq and is a predicted model, not a curated record.